CACAGGAACCAAACUAGUUGUUUCCAACAUACCAGCAAAACUUGAUUCCACCAAGAUUCAGGCCCUGCUUCCUUCUACUGAAAAACAUGGGAAAGUAUCAUACAUGUGCUUCAUUCAGGAUUUUUACCCAAAUGUUAUUAAGGUGACUUGGGAAGAUGAGAAGAAGAAGAAUGCAGAGAAAAAUGCAGUACAUGAGGAAAUUUGGCCCCCUGGUGACAAUCAACAGUCAUACUCAUUGAGCAGCUGGCUGACCGUAGAUAAAAAUAGCAACAAGAAUUAUCGCUGCAAAUAUCAACAUGAAAUCAAAGAAGAUUAUGUUCCUAUGGAAUCUCCAGCAGACACCUUUUCAGACACAACUGUAAUCCCUCAAACCACCACAAGUUGUAUCAAGUUUGCUGAGAAUAACACCACGCUUUCCACAGAUACUAUGGACAGUUACAUACACAGGACAGCGUAUUUCAUAUAUAUUGUCCUACUCCUGAAAAGCACCAUGUACUACGUCAUCGUACUCUUCUUCAUAUACAGGAUGCAAAGUCCAAUCAAGCACCAGGGAAAGAAACCUUAAACUUCUCCAUACACCUUCCAACAUCAGCAUUUGUGUCUGAAAUUUACUUUGCUUUGCCAUAAGACUGAUCAUAUGAAACUAUGGUGACCAGAUAGCAAGUGUGAAAAAUCGGGAUGGGGAUGGGGAGUAAUGGGCGUCUAUAUAAGGAAAAAAACCCAAAUAUUGGGAUUGUUCCUAUAAAAUCGGGACAUCUGGUCACCCACUUUGGAACACCGUGCUCCAAAUAUUAAGACAUGCAUUUCAAUUUGAUUUUGUUGGCUAUUUCUCUAAUUAGCACAGAUGGCUUCUUCUGCUUGAGAGCAAACAGUUUUAUAUGUGACCAUAUUUCCUAUUAUAUUAUUUUAAUUUUGUAACUGUGGAACUUCAAGGGCUGAGGCUACACUCCUUGAUUUCAAUGGGAAUUUUGCAGAAUUUUGUAGUGCAGAAUCAGUCUCUUAGGCUCUUAUCCCGCAAAAACCUUGUGCACACCGGGUACUUUUUGGAUGUGGAUACGCCAACUGCGUUCAGUGAAAUCAACGGGAAAAACUGGUCCCAUAAAUAUUUGCAGGGGUGGAGUACUAAUCUGUAAUUUUAAAUGAUUUGUCAUUUCAUUUCUACUAGUUACAUUUAUUUGCUUUAUAAAACAAAAACAGGCUUCUGAAAAAUGGCUAAUUUUUUUUA
Non-coding RNA from Mauremys mutica (yellowpond turtle), 1225 nucleotides. The record is from the annotation of a RefSeq genome assembly. NCBI's taxonomy places the organism in Eukaryota, Metazoa, Chordata, Testudines, Geoemydidae.